GACGAACGCUGGCGGCGUGCCUAAUACAUGCAAGUAGAACGCUGAAGAGAAGAGCUUGCUCUUCUUGGAUGAGUUGCGAACGGGUGAGUAACGCGUAGGUAACCUGCCUGGUAGCGGGGGAUAACUAUUGGAAACGAUAGCUAAUACCGCAUAAAAUUGAUUAUUGCAUGAUAAUUAAUUGAAAGAUGCAAUUGCAUUACUACCAGAUGGACCUGCGUUGUAUUAGCUAGUUGGUGAGGUAACGGCUCACCAAGGCGACGAUACAUAGCCGACCUGAGAGGGUGAUCGGCCACACUGGGACUGAGACACGGCCCAGACUCCUACGGGAGGCAGCAGUAGGGAAUCUUCGGCAAUGGGGGGAACCCUGACCGAGCAACGCCGCGUGAGUGAAGAAGGUUUUCGGAUCGUAAAGCUCUGUUGUAAGAGAAGAACGGGUGUGAGAGUGGAAAGUUCACACUGUGA
This 462-nucleotide ribosomal RNA is filed under the name Streptococcus sanguinis. RNAcentral's name for it is "bacterial SSU rRNA". It matches the Rfam family "Bacterial small subunit ribosomal RNA", at positions 28 to 472 of the family's 1533-position model. The record is from RNAcentral. Lineage: Bacteria; Bacillati; Bacillota; Bacilli; Lactobacillales; Streptococcaceae.